CCUGGGACGCAGGCCUGGCCCACUGGAACAUCCCCUGGCCACGAUGAUUGGCUUAGGGGAGGUCAUGUGAUCCAACUUAAGCCAAUGAGACUCAACUCCGGAGCUUCCCUUGAAACUAUAGCUGAAAGACCAGCUUGUCAGUCCUGGUAGCCAUUUUUUGCCAUAUUUGCUAUCCUGAGAGGGGAAUCUGCAUGAGAAUGAAGUUGUUCCAGAAGAAAGCAUACAUGAGAGAUGGAAAGGUUGAGAAAUCUGCCCCUGCAAAAUUCAGUUAAAUGAAGAAACCAGAACCCAAAAGGGGAAAUAAUUCAUCCAAGAUCACUCACUAGGAUUCAAGCUUUAAUACCUGGUGUGUCUGAAUCAAGAAUUCACAUCCUCACAACUGCUCCAUAUCCCCCUACUCCCCAAAUCUUGAGGCUUACAGGUAUCUACUGAACAAUAAACAUCUUCCCUGAGCCUGAAAAUGGUGGAGAUGACAUGUGGAUUUCUGGAAAUUGAAGCAGAGACACCCCUUCAGGGGAAUAAGAGACAGCAUUUGAGGCACUUGCAUUCCUCCAGCUGUCCCCCUAUGGCAUGUUUUAAAUUUAAAGUGGCAAAUGAGGAAGAUGCUUCCUCAGGUGUUCCCCAAAGGCCUGGAUAUUGGCCGACAAGAGGGCCAAUUUUCUCACUGACAUUCUUCUUCUUAAUAGAAAUUGGUCUGCAAAACAUCUGCUAAUUAUUUUCCAAAGCUGAAUCUAUGCAAACUCUACAACCCAACAAUUCCACUCCUGGUGUUACCAGUGGAGGGUCUUGACUACCUGUCAUCCAAAUUCUUGGUGUUUUGAACAAAAAAUUGGACAAAACGCACAAAGAAAGCAAUGAAGCAAUGAAGCAAUGAAAGUACAGAUGUCUGUGAACAAAAAUUCACUCCACAGAGUGGGAGGCUGGCUUGAGCAAGUGGCUCAAGAUCAUUGGUUACAGAAUUUUCUGGAGUUUACCCUCCAGAGGUUUCCCAUUCGUUACUUGGUUACGCCCUGUGUAAAAGAAGAUUUGGCCUGCAGCCAUUCUGAUUGGUCACAGAAGGUCACAGAAGGUGACCAAUCAGAGGGUGAAGUGAAGCAAAGUUACACAUGAAGACUUGGCCCCACGACCAGUCUGAUUGGUUGAGGGAGGAGACCAAUUAUAGGUACUUUUCAGUUUUCAUCUGCAAGGCAGUGCAAAGGGAGUAGCCUCUGAUCCUUUUGUUACUUGGGUGUAGAAAGCUGGGGUUUUCCUUUGGAUUCAGUUCUAGGAAGUCAGCACAAAUCAGCAUUAGGUUCCCUGUCUCCAGACUCUAUUCUGCCUCAUUGGGUAAAUACCAGAUAGAAAUGAGCGUGUGUUCAACUAAGAGAGACCUUCAGAGCGGUGCUUACAGCCCCAAAUCAGAAACAAUGCAAAGUCCCUGGGCUGGGAAGUAAAUUAUGGUAGAGUCACAUGGUGGACUACUGCGCUGCAAUGAGAAGGAGCAAUCUUCAGACCAAUCCAGGGACAUGGAAGGAUCUCACAUCCAUGAUGUUGACUAGGUAGAAAGAGUAGGACAAAGAUACAUGCAUCCUGUAUGAUUUGAUGCUUGUGAUGUUUAAAAACAGGCUAACUCUAACCCUAACCCUUUGCUCACUAAUGCUUUUUGUUU
Molecule: long non-coding RNA, 1648 nt
Organism: Cercocebus atys (sooty mangabey)
Lineage: Eukaryota; Metazoa; Chordata; Mammalia; Primates; Cercopithecidae
Exons: 3
Source: RefSeq, a predicted model, not a curated record